This 465-nucleotide ribosomal RNA is filed under the name uncultured bacterium. RNAcentral's name for it is "partial 16S ribosomal RNA". It matches the Rfam family "Bacterial small subunit ribosomal RNA", at positions 28 to 507 of the family's 1533-position model. The record is from RNAcentral.
GACGAACGCUGGCGGCGUGCUUAACACAUGCAAGUCGAACGGAAAGGCCCUGCUUGCAGGGUACUCGAGUGGCGAACGGGUGAGUAACACGUGGGUGAUCUGCCCUGCACUUCGGGAUAAGCUUGGGAAACUGGGUCUAAUACCGGAUAGGAGCCAUCUUUAGUGUGGUGGUUGGAAAGUUUUUUCGGUGUAGGAUGAGCUCGCGGCCUAUCAGCUUGUUGGUGGGGUAAUGGCCUACCAAGGCGGCGACGGGUAGCCGGCCUGAGAGGGUGUACGGCCACAUUGGGACUGAGAUACGGCCCAGACUCCUACGGGAGGCAGCAGUGGGGAAUAUUGCACAAUGGGCGCAAGCCUGAUGCAGCGACGCGCGUGGGGGAUGAAGGCCUUCGGGUUGUAAACUCCUUUCGCUAGGGACGAAGCGUUUUUGUGACGGUACCUAGAUAAGAAGCACCGGCUAACUACGUG